GAUUGAAAUACGACUGGAAUAGCGAAAGCGCGUGAAUUCUGAUGCCGACUAUAAUAUUUUGAACAAAACAAUUGAAACAAGCGUUUAUUAAAUUAAUAAGGAUGAUAAUAGCAACAAGAUAUCGAAUAGAUCGAGGCAAAUAAAUUUGUAAGAAAUCGGACUUCAGGAAAUACAUUUAGAAGUGUUAUGUUUACGAAAAUCAUGUUUAGAAAAAGUUAUCGCGAUAUAAAGUGAACCAGUCUAGGGCUCAUUCGUCUUUAAGGCAGGGAAAAGGAAAACAGAAAUUAUAAGCAAUGACUAGGGCCUUACACAGGGAUGCAGCACCCUGUCACGCAAAGGACCAACCCUGGCCCUAUUACCUACACCAUAGUCUUGUUUUUAUCUCAUCCGAUCAUUAUAAUGGAAGUUGUAUUUGAAAUUCAAUAAAUACUAUGAAACAAUA
This is a long non-coding RNA of Dreissena polymorpha, 442 nucleotides long. RefSeq lists it as uncharacterized. The transcript has 2 exons. The record is from RefSeq and is a predicted model, not a curated record. NCBI's taxonomy places the organism in Eukaryota, Metazoa, Mollusca, Bivalvia, Myida, Dreissenidae.